Macaca mulatta (Rhesus monkey) is the source of this 1527-nucleotide non-coding RNA. Lineage: Eukaryota; Metazoa; Chordata; Mammalia; Primates; Cercopithecidae. The record is from RefSeq and is a predicted model, not a curated record.
UGCCGGUCCUCACCUUUGAAAUGCCGGCAGCUGCGCGCGCUGCGGCGGGCGCGGAGAGGAGCCACCUCGUCACGUGGGGAGGAAAUGCCUUGCCGGCCUCCAAACCUACUGGCUCUUGUUUCUGGGGUUUUAUGGCCAGGAGAGUCGGGUCACUUCUCAAACCCAAGAUCAAAGGGCAGUGCAGGACCCAUCACCCUGGGAAGUUUUCUCCCCUUUCCCGUCUUUCUCCUUCUCACCUUCUCAGAAAGCAUAGCGAAAGGGGCCUGCCACCCUACUGGCUUUUCCUUUUAGGGAAAUUCCAUUUCCUAACGUGUCCUGUUUUGAAAGAGGCCCAUUUAUUGGGUAAUGACGGCAGCCUGUUAGGCAGAAGUCAGGCCAGGAGUAGUCACUUCUAUUAUUUUAUUCAACGAAUGCCUACUGAUCAUCUCCCGGGUGCCAGGCCUGUAGCGGGGGUUCAGUAGUGACCAAGGACUCAGACCCUGCCUUGGCUACCCACAUCACCGAAGAAAUGAGUUAUCAGGCGACAAGGUGACUCCUGGUGCUCAGUACUUGAAAAUACAAGACACCAGAGCGGGAAAUCCUCUCUCAUACUAAGAGUGCACACUUUGCCUCUCGUUAGAACAGGGGUAAUGCCGGGUUUGCAUUUCUUUGGACCUUUUCACUUCAUUUAAUAGUAACACUUGAAACUGGUGUCAAACAUCCUCAUACUUUCCUUCCUUUCUCAUGAAACUGUUCUAGUAUCUGGCUGAUAGCACCGUGUCUACCUUUAUGUAGCUCAGGUUUUGUUGGGUUUUUGUUGUUGUUGUUGUUUGCUUGUUUUUAAUGUGCUAACAUUAUGUUUGGGCUUUUUUGCUUGCUUUUUGAAGUAAGUUUUUAAAAUUCAGAAUUCCAGGAAAGACUUUCUUUUCUCACUUACUAGGUUAACAGAACACUAGCCAUGUGGUUCUAACCUCUGGGGUUUUUAGGCAGCAAAAAUCUCAUCACAUCGCCAGAGAAAUAACCACAAAUUCCCACGACACAUUUCGGGCGGUAUCACAGCUCCUGGCCUGCUUGAGGACUGUGGGAGUGAGUCACUGCUGGAGAUCUGAGCUGGACGCUGCCCGGAGUCCUUCUGCACUGAUAUUCUGUCCCUUUUCCUGUUUCUUCCACAACCUCGCCCUCCUGUCCCCUGGCCUAAGACCUACUGACAUCAAGAAGCUUCAGGAAACCUCAUCCUAUAAAUCAAGUGGUGGCCUACUCAUAGCAAAGUCCUUACAGAUACCUUUAUUUAUUUAUUUAUUUAUUUAAGAGGUGAGGCCUCAGUAUGUUGCCCAGGCGGCACUCAAACAAGCCUGCCGCCUCAGCCUCCCAAGUAGCUUGGACUAUAUAUAUGAGCCACUGGACCUGACUCAGAUAUGUUUAUAUAUUUGCCUCAUUCUGAUGUCGUUUAAAUAUGCCAUGUUCCAAACAUCAUGAACUUGUUCAGAGAGUUUUUAGGGGCCAGAAUGUGGACUGCUAUCCUAUUAAACUCUAUCUUAUUAAACUUGA